This 445-nucleotide ribosomal RNA is filed under the name uncultured bacterium. RNAcentral's name for it is "partial 16S ribosomal RNA". It matches the Rfam family "Bacterial small subunit ribosomal RNA", at positions 354 to 796 of the family's 1533-position model. The record is from RNAcentral.
GUAGGGAAUAUUGGUCAAUGGACGAAAGUCUGAACCAGCCAUUCCGCGUGCAGGAAGAAGAUUCUAUGGAUUGUAAACUGCUUUUAGCAGAGAAGAAACGCCUUCAUUGAUGAGGGUUUGACGGUUUCUGCGGAAUAAGCACCGGCUAACUCCGUGCCAGCAGCCGCGGUAAUACGGGGGGUGCAAGCGUUAUCCGGAAUCACUGGGUUUAAAGGGUGCGUAGGCGUGAAAUUAAGUCAGUGGUGAAAGUCUGUUGCUUAACGAUAGAAUUGCCGUUGAUACUGAUUUUCUUGAAUUGGGUUGAGGUUAGCGGAAUGUGACAUGUAGCGGUGAAAUGCAUAGAUAUGUCAUGGAACACCAAUUGCGAAGGCAGCUAGCUGGGCCUUGAUUGACGCUGAGGCACGAAAGCGUGGGUAGCGAACAGGAUUAGAUACCCCAGUAGUCC